RNAcentral lists this ribosomal RNA (480 nucleotides) under Leptopecten bavayi. RNAcentral describes it as "partial 16S ribosomal RNA". It matches the Rfam family "Bacterial large subunit ribosomal RNA", at positions 1845 to 2596 of the family's 2925-position model. The record is from RNAcentral. Lineage: Eukaryota; Metazoa; Mollusca; Bivalvia; Pectinida; Pectinidae.
AUAGGGAGUCGUGCCUUCCCGGUGAGUUGAGCUUAAACGGAUGCGGUAAAGCGUGCUAAGGUAGCUAAGUUAUGGCCUAGUUAAUUGUAGGUCCUGUGAAUGGUUUGACGAGUUUUCUACUGUCUCUAAUUUGUUUAGGUGAACUUGAGCAGGGUGUGCAAACGCUCCCCUGAGAAAGAAAGACGAGAAGACCCCGUGAAGUUAGAAAUUUAGUUUUAAAAGUUUUAAGGAAGUUUUAGGUGAUUAGUUUUGGCUGGGGCAGCAAGGGGGCAAGAGUAGACCCCUUAAUUUAAAAGUCUGAUAAGUUUUUGAUCCAUAAAAUUAUAUGUAUGAUUAGCAGAAAAAGUUACUCCGGGGAUAACAGCGUAAUCUGCUUUGAUAGUUCUUAUAGAUGAGUAGGUUUGCGACCUCGAUGUUGGCUCUGGAUAUCCUGAGGCUGUAGAGGGUCUCAAUGGUUGGUUCGUUCGCCCAUUAAAAUCC